RNAcentral lists this ribosomal RNA (200 nucleotides) under uncultured bacterium. Its description in RNAcentral is "partial 16S ribosomal RNA". It matches the Rfam family "Bacterial small subunit ribosomal RNA", at positions 29 to 227 of the family's 1533-position model. The record is from RNAcentral.
AAUGAACGCUGGCGGUAGGCCUAACACAUGCAAGUCGAACGGCAGCACAGGAGAGCUUGCUCUCUGGGUGGCGAGUGGCGGACGGGUGAGGAAUACAUCGGAAUCUACCUUGUCGUGGGGGAUAACGUAGGGAAACUUACGCUAAUACCGCAUACGACCUCGGUGGAAGUAGGGACGGCGAGGACGCACGCGAUAGUAUG